Molecule: ribosomal RNA, 372 nt
Filed under: uncultured bacterium
Lineage: Bacteria
Description: bacterial SSU rRNA
Rfam family: Bacterial small subunit ribosomal RNA
Source: RNAcentral
GACGAACGCUGGCGGCGUGCUUAACACAUGCAAGUCGAACGGUAAGGCCCUUCGGGUACGACGAGUGGCGAACGGGUGGAGUAACACGUGGGUGAUCUGCCCUGCACUUCGGGAUAAGCUUGGGAAACUGGGUCUAAUACCGGAUAGGACCACGGUCUGCAUGGAUUGUGGUGGAAAAGCUUUUGCGGUGUGGGAUGGGCCCGCGGCCUAUCAGCUUGUUGGUGGGGUGAUGGCCUACCAAGGCGACGACGGGUAGCCGGCCUGAGAGGGUGUCCGGCCACACUGGGACUGAGAUACGGCCCAGACUCCUACGGGAGGCAGCAGUGGGGAAUAUUGCACAAUGGGCGCAAGCCUGAUGCAGCGACGCCGCGU